GAUUUAUAGAGAAGAGGCGAGAGAACAGGCUUUAUGACCCUCUGGCAACCUGCCCUGGCAGGGAAAAGGUGCCAAUUCCUGACCAAUGAUUUGGUGAAUAUAAAUU
This 106-nucleotide non-coding RNA is filed under the name Bacteroides sp. RNAcentral describes it as "SAM-I sequence". It matches the Rfam family "SAM riboswitch aptamer (S box leader)". From Rfam's summary of the family: The SAM riboswitch is found upstream of a number of genes which code for proteins involved in methionine or cysteine biosynthesis in Gram-positive bacteria. The SAM riboswitch acts at the level of transcription termination control. The record is from RNAcentral. Lineage: Bacteria; Pseudomonadati; Bacteroidota; Bacteroidia; Bacteroidales; Bacteroidaceae.